GUACUCACUUUGGCAGCACAGAUACUAAGAGUGAAAUGAUACAGAGAUUAGUAUGGCCUGUGUACCCGGAUGGAAUGCGAAUUUGCGAUGCAUUCCAUGUAUUU
Gorilla gorilla gorilla (western lowland gorilla) is the source of this 104-nucleotide small nuclear RNA. The record is from Ensembl. Lineage: Eukaryota; Metazoa; Chordata; Mammalia; Primates; Hominidae.